Molecule: ribosomal RNA, 132 nt
Organism: Cercocebus atys (sooty mangabey)
Lineage: Eukaryota; Metazoa; Chordata; Mammalia; Primates; Cercopithecidae
Source: Ensembl
AUCUACAGCCACACCGCCCUGAAUGUGCCUGAUCUCGUCCCAUCUUGGAAGCUAAGCAGGGUCGGGCCUGGUUAGUACUUGGAUGGGAAGAGUUUCUCUCUUUUUCUUUCAUGAUUUUGGCUUGUUUGGCUU